GUGCAGAGCGAGCGCGAGAAUGGAAGGCGAACUGCAGCUACCUUAUGUUCCUCCUAAACCACCAGUAAAAGGAAACAAGAAAAGAAAGACCGUGUUUGAAACUUCUACAACGAAAAACGUCUGGAUCAAGAGUGUGCUUAAAGCAGAAUUAACAUUGGCAUUGCUUUUCCACGCCGGAGGCAACUGUGGGACUCAAAGGGUCUGAAAAAUGACGCCAUGGUUGCUGUUUUUCUUUUGGACAGUUAUGAAAACACUGCAACAUCCACACCUUUGGUGCAUGGAUUCAUAAGGCCACCACCACCAACUGUUUCGACUAUUUCAUCAGUCUCUCCCAAAACAAACUGCAUAAGGAUCAGUCCAAUGCCUCCCCAUUAUUGUUGAUUUGGUGAGGGUCUAUCGAGCCAGCAAGCCAAUCUCUUCAGUGGAGCACAUCCAAGACAGUCCAUAUUCUCAAAUCACCACAAUGCCAGAUAUUAAGUGACAUUUUGCCUACGACCUGCAGGGAGUCUAGGAGCAGCCCAGAGAUCCCCAACAAAUGUGCCCUGAUCUGGAUAAUCCCCUACGCUUCCCUAACAAAUGGGUCCAAAGCUGUACAAAAACCCCAUGUAUAUACCUCCCAUGACUGUGGAUUUGGGCCUAACAUGCUGAGUCUACAUAGAGAGAUAUUGGAAGACAGUGUGAAUAGAGCCUGAAAUUCUAAUGGCGGAUGCACCAUUUCAGUGGUUUAAAUAUGAUUCCAAUUGUGUUUGGCAUUCUUCUGGAACCAUGCAAUCUUGUGUCCAUUGCAGAAAUAUAUAACGCUUUUUAGUGAUAUACAACAUUGACUCUUUCUAUUCUCUGCAGAGGUGAUUGUAUGACAUUGAACGUGUCUAGCUUUUCUCCUUUUAAUGAGCUCUUUUAUUUUCCCACCACCAAGCAUGUGAUUGAAUGAGUCCUGUCACAAAGGGUGACAUGCAAAUAUAAAAUUUCAUAGCACUGUCUAAAACACAUUGUAUCCAAUAAUUAAUUUUACACAUCUCUGGAAUUUAUGUUUUAUAUUUCUCUCUUAUAUGUGAGCAGUGAGCAAGAAUUGGUCUUGCCAUGUUGAAGACAACAUAUGCUACAAAUUAUUUGCAAGUAAUCAAUGCCUUUAAUAAGUAGGUAAAACCACAUUUGCUCACUGACUCAUUAAAGGCUCUUGAACAAAUAAUCUUUUCCCCUCUAAAUGAGGCCACUCCAGCUCAUCUUUAAACUUUUUUCUUUUAAUCUUGUUUAAUGUGUAAUGUUUGUCACCAUCAAUAAAUAAACAUAAAUCAGAGUUGAGUGGUGCUUCAGAAAGAGCUAAUUCAUUAUUUACAUGACUGUCUGAAUAAAACAUGCACUAAAUGGUUUUAUCAGCUUCAC
This is a long non-coding RNA of Myxocyprinus asiaticus (Chinese sucker), 1383 nucleotides long. RefSeq lists it as uncharacterized. NCBI's taxonomy places the organism in Eukaryota, Metazoa, Chordata, Actinopteri, Cypriniformes, Catostomidae. The transcript is spliced from 3 exons. The record is from RefSeq and is a predicted model, not a curated record.